UUGAACGCUGGCGGUAUGCUUUACACAUGCAAGUCGAACGGGCUUUGGGGCUUGCCCCAAAGUUAGUGGCGAACGGGUGAGUAACAUAUCGGAACAUAUCCGGAAGUGGGGGAUAACGUAGCGAAAGUUACGCUAAUACCGCAUAUGCCCUGAGGGGGAAAGGGGGGGAUCGCAAGACCUCUCGCUUUCGGAGUGGCCGAUAUCGGAUUAGCUAGAUGGUGAGGUAAAGGCUCACCAUGGCGACGAUCCGUAGCUGGUCUGAGAGGACGACCAGCCACACUGGAACUGAGACACGGUCCAGACUCCUACGGGAGGCAGCAGUGGGGAAUUUUGGACAAUGGGCGCAAGCCUGAUCCAGCCAUACCGCGUGAGUGAAGAAGGCCUUCGGGUUGUAAAGCUCUUUCAGCCGGAAAGAAAUCGCACCUAUUAAUACUGGGUGCGGAUGACGGUACCGGAAGAAGAAGCACCGGCUAACUACGUGCCAGCAGCCGCGGUAAUACGUAGGGUGCGAGCGUUAAUCGGAAUUACUGGGCGUAAAGCGUGCGCAGGCGGUUUGGUAAGACAGACGUGAAAUCCCCGGGCUUAACCUGGGAACUGCGUUUGUGACUGCCAGACUAGAGUGCGGCAGAGGGGGGUAGAAUUCCACGUGUAGCAGUGAAAUGCGUAGAUAUGUGGAGGAAUACCAAUGGCGAAGGCAGCCCCCUGGGUCGACACUGACGCUCAUGCACGAAAGCGUGGGGAGCAAACAGGAUUAGAUACCCUGGUAGUCCACGCCCUAAACGAUGUCAACUAGGUGUUGGGGAAGGAGACUUCUUUAGUACCGCAGC
This 827-nucleotide ribosomal RNA is filed under the name uncultured bacterium. Its description in RNAcentral is "bacterial SSU rRNA". It matches the Rfam family "Bacterial small subunit ribosomal RNA", at positions 29 to 852 of the family's 1533-position model. The record is from RNAcentral.